UUUUUUUUUUUUUUUUUUUUUUUUUUUUGAGAUGGAGUUUUGCUCUUGUUACCCAGGCUGGAGUGCAAUGGUGCGAUCUUGGCUCACCGCAACCUCCACCUCCUGGGAUCAGGCAACAACUCUCCUGCCUCAGCCUCCUGAGUAGCUGGGAUUACAGGCACGCGCCACCAUGCCCAGCUAAUUUUUUGUAUUUUUAGUAGAGACUGGGUUUCACCAUGUUGACCAGGAUGGUCUCGAUCUGUUGACCUCGUGAUCCACCCGCCUCGGCCUCCCAAAGUGCUGGGAUUACAGGCGUGAGCCACCACACCCAGCCAGGAUCAAGUCUUUUUGAAAGAGUUUAUGGAAAACAAUCCAAUGCUGGUACCCACUAUUGCAGCUACCAGAUGCUGAUACCCACUGUACCAGCUACCAGAAGGCUGACACCCUCUGCAUCAGACACCAGGAGCCUCAAGCGACGUCUCGCCCAAGGAAGACUCCACAAAUAUUGCAGGAAUGAAUGAACAUGAAAGACUGUGGCAUAUUAAGGACAACUGUGAUGGCAUUUGUGCACUGGAAGAUCAUACACAGAACAACGAUGGGCUGGACAGAGCUGGGUUCGAAAUCAGACUCCAGACUUAGU
Molecule: long non-coding RNA, 619 nt
Organism: Callithrix jacchus (white-tufted-ear marmoset)
Lineage: Eukaryota; Metazoa; Chordata; Mammalia; Primates; Cebidae
Source: RefSeq, a predicted model, not a curated record